CAGUAGCCACGGUAAUACGAAGGGUGCAAGCGUUAAUCGGAAUUACUGGGCGUAAAGCGUGCGUAGGCGGUUUGUUAAGUCUGCUGUGAAAUCCCCGGGCUCAACCUGGGAAUGGCAGUGGAUACUGGCAAGCUAGAGUGUGUCAGAGGAUGGUGGAAUUCCCGGUGUAGCGGUGAAAUGCGUAGAGAUCGGGAGGAACAUCAGUGGCGAAGGCGGCCAUCUGGGACAACACUGACGCUGAGGCACGAAAGCGUGGGGAGCAAAUAGGAUUAGAUACCCCCGUAGUCCCUGUCUCUUAUAC
RNAcentral lists this ribosomal RNA (301 nucleotides) under uncultured bacterium. Its description in RNAcentral is "partial 16S ribosomal RNA". It matches the Rfam family "Bacterial small subunit ribosomal RNA", at positions 509 to 807 of the family's 1533-position model. The record is from RNAcentral.